AAGGAUUUAAGUUAAAUAAACUAGUAACCUUCAAAGUUAAAAAUAGAAAAAUUUUCUAAGCCUUA
RNAcentral lists this transfer RNA (65 nucleotides) under Phyllotreta variipennis. RNAcentral describes it as "tRNA-Trp". Lineage: Eukaryota; Metazoa; Arthropoda; Insecta; Coleoptera; Chrysomelidae. The record is from RNAcentral.